This 652-nucleotide ribosomal RNA is filed under the name uncultured fungus. RNAcentral describes it as "LSU rRNA". It matches the Rfam family "Eukaryotic large subunit ribosomal RNA", at positions 61 to 733 of the family's 3401-position model. The record is from RNAcentral. Lineage: Eukaryota; Fungi.
AAGACCACAGGGAUUACCUCAGUAACGGCGAGUGAAGCGGUAACAGCUCAAAUUUGAAAUCUGGCCUCACGGUCCGAGUUGUAAUUUGUAGAGGAUGCUUCGAGCAUGGUCUGGCCUAAGUUCCUUGGAACAGGACGUCAUAGAGGGUGAGAAUCCCGCAUGCGACCAGGUGCCUACGCUCAUGUGAAGCUCCUUCGACGAGUCGAGUUGUUUGGGAAUGCAGCUCAAAAUGGGUGGUAAAUUUCAUCUAAAGCUAAAUAUUGGCCAGAGACCGAUAGCGCACAAGUAGAGUGAUCGAAAGAUGAAAAGCACUUUGGAAAGAGAGUUAAACAGUACGUGAAAUUGUUGAAAGGGAAGCGCUUGCAACCAGACUUGCGCGCGGCCGAUCAUCCGGUGUUCUCACCGGUGCACUCGGCCGUGCUCAGGCCAGCAUCGGUUUUGGCGGCUGGAUAAAGGCCCUAGGAAUGUAGCUCCUCUCGGGGAGUGUUAUAGCCUAGGGUGCAAUGCAGCCUGCUGGGACCGAGGACCGCGCUUCGGCUAGGAUGCUGGCGUAAUGGUUGUAAGCGGCCCGUCUUGAAACACGGACCAAGGAGUCUAACAUCUAUGCGAGUGUUUGGGUGUCAAACCCAUACGCGUAAUGAAAGUGAACGGA